CAGGCAUAAAAAUAUGCUCUGGAUUGUCUAGAAACGAAUUCGUUGUUUUCAUGUUCAACCAACGGUUGUAUGGGAGAGACAGAGGUUAGAGCUCUCUAUGUCUUUCCGGUUACGUCAUACGCCGUGAUGUUGACACAAGUGAAACGCGUUUUUCUUUUUGCAUUCAAUCAGUCAUUAAGUAUGUCAAUAGAUGAACGAAAACGAUUCACCGUUACAAUUCUAAGGAGUCAUACUGUACAGGAAGGCUGAUGAGAAGUGGUUAUCAGCAGAGAGGCCUCUGGUAUCUUCGGACCUGUUAUCGAGAAGGGUCUGAUGCCAGGCGUUUUGUACCCAUCUUUCUUACGUUCAUCUCAAGGCACACAAGCAGGCCAAUGGAGGCAAGAACGAUGAUACAGGCUUAGAGUUUCCACUGGCGCCGACGGCGUUUCGAUACGCAACGCUACCACCGUUAUUGAACAGCAUUAUGACGAUAGCUACGAGUGCCAUCGCACACCCUUCAAUAAGAAAAGCGCGAAAGCGCAAGAAGUAAGCCUUGUCAAGGAUUCUAUCGAAGGAAAAGUCAGUUGGACGUUCUGCGUUUAUCAUGUGGGUAUCGCCACUGAUAAUGACCAGGCGCUCACAGGACCUUGCCGCAAUCGACGAUCACACUAAGCAGCGACGUCAAAAUGACGCUCAUAAUGACGUAAGUUUGUGUUCGCUUAGGAGGAAAGAAAUCGGUAAAUGCGCAUGGUACGACAUCUGUGUGGACGGGCACAGCGGACUACAGAGGCCGAUGUUAGAUGGGUAUAUAAACGUAGGACUUACGUCAUCGAAUGACUCGUUUGUUUUGUUAGUGCAUAUCAGAAACGCUAUUCAAAUAAGCUUUUACUAAAACCCAUGAAAAGAUGAUACGAUGUUUUGGUUACCUUUGCCAUUUUACUCAGAUCACAGUUUCAUAUAGGUGUCUGUAAUGAUGAGAACGCGUUCAGGAACAGUAUCUGCAUUAAUAUUUGAGCAAUUUUAAGGACGCACGAGCCUCCCGUCUAAGGAAGACUAUGUAGUAGUGGUUCUGCGACAAAUAAAGUAAAAAUGUCAAUCAGUUUUUCUAGAGACUUUUGCUUGACACAAAUACUAAAACCCAACGAGGUUGGCAACCAUAACCCAUGCGUAAUACAUAUUUAACUCAAAGCGCUA
Molecule: long non-coding RNA, 1173 nt
Organism: Varroa destructor (honeybee mite)
Lineage: Eukaryota; Metazoa; Arthropoda; Arachnida; Mesostigmata; Varroidae
Source: RefSeq, a predicted model, not a curated record